Solea senegalensis (Senegalese sole) is the source of this 900-nucleotide long non-coding RNA. RefSeq lists it as uncharacterized. The record is from RefSeq and is a predicted model, not a curated record. The transcript is spliced from 2 exons. NCBI's taxonomy places the organism in Eukaryota, Metazoa, Chordata, Actinopteri, Pleuronectiformes, Soleidae.
CAUCUAUUUAUUUAUUUAUUAUUAUUUAUUGGGCAAUGUGGUUGUUUGUGUCGUGUUUGUUGACAGACUGGAUUUUAAUGCCAACAAAACUGUUGUUGUGUUUCGUUUGGAUGGUGGCCACGCUGCUUCUUUCUUUUACCUCUGUGAUACCACUUCUGUCGUAUUUGCUACAUGGUGAAUCACUCGUACACAUGGUUCUGUUUAAUAUUUAUCCAUAGACAUGUUGCCGCGCUGUUCUGUGUCGCCAGAUACCACGUUGAGCGUUGUUAUGGACACGAUGGCUAUAGCCCGAGAUACAUUUGCUCUUCUGAGGGUGACGUCCACUCCCGGUUUCCGGCUUACGAGUUCAGAUGAAGAAGGAAUGCAGCAUUUCUCUCCCAUCUUUUCCACAUUUAUACUCCCAGUGGGCGACGGCUGACUUGGAGCGUUUGACUGACCCAAUAAUAUUAAAUGAACUGACAUUGACCAAACCUUCUCUCUCACAUUGGCUUCAUCUCCUGCCUCUCUGCCUCGUGUAUCGGCCUCUUAAACCUGUCGUGUAGCCACCACCACAAGAGAAACUGUACUGAUUUGUUUGCCUCACUGUCCUCACACACACUUCUUUACGACUGCUCACCAUCACCUGCUUUUUUCCUCACCAACACCAUGUCACCUUCACUGUCAUUGGCCCAACCCUGGCUAAGAUUGUAAACUAUUCUCCAUCCAUAAGGGUCAGUAGAAUAAGGUGUUUAAAAAAAAAAAAAAGAAGAAAGAAAUGUCUGUAUCAUAAUUUAAAUAUUAAAAAGUGCACUAUUAUAACUAUUGCCUGUGAUUAAAAAGAACAAUUAUGAUUGAAUUGAUGGUCAAAAUAAAGAGAGAUCCACCUUAUUGGUAUGGUUACAAUAAUAAAUCCUAAAGUCA